This 283-nucleotide ribosomal RNA is filed under the name Candidatus Peregrinibacteria bacterium. RNAcentral describes it as "partial 23S ribosomal RNA". It matches the Rfam family "Bacterial large subunit ribosomal RNA", at positions 2627 to 2925 of the family's 2925-position model. The record is from RNAcentral. Lineage: Bacteria; Candidatus Peregrinibacteriota.
CAGUUCGGUCUCUAUCUUCUGUGGUCGUUGGAAAAUUGAAGGAAGCUGCUCCUAGUACGAGAGGACCGGAGUGGACGAACCUCUAGUGCACCAGUUGUCGUGUCAGCGGCAUAGCUGGGUAGCUAUGUUCGGAAGGGAUAACCGCUGAAAGCAUCUAAGUGGGAAGCCCCUCCUAAGAUUAAUUUUUCCUAUGAAUCCCCCUGUAGACUACAGGGUUGAUAGGUUGCAGAUGUACGCACAGCGAUGUGUUCAGUCGAGCAAUACUAAUGGAUCAAAGAACUUA